GAUGAACGCUGGCGGCGUGCCUAAUACAUGCAAGUCGAGCGAACAGACGAGGAGCUUGCUCCUCUGACGUUAGCGGCGGACGGGUGAGUAACACGUGGAUAACCUACCUAUAAGACUGGGAUAACUUCGGGAAACCGGAGCUAAUACCGGAUAAUAUAUUGAACCGCAUGGUUCAAUAGUGAAAGACGGUUUUGCGGUCACGUAUAGAUGGAUCCGCGCCGCAUUAGCUAGUUGGUAAGGUAACGGCUUACCAAGGCAACGAUGCGUAGCCGACCUGAGAGGGUGAUCGGCCACACGGGAAGUGAGACACGGUCCAGACUCCUACGGGAGGCAGCAGUAGGGAAUCUUCCGCAAUGGGCGAAAGCUUGACGGAGCAACGCCGCGUGAGUGAUGAAGGUCUUCGGAUCGUAAAACUCUGUUAUUAGGGAAGAACAAAUGUGUAAGUAACUAUGCACGUCUUGACGGUACCUAAUCAGAAAGCCACGGCUAACUACGUG
This 497-nucleotide ribosomal RNA is filed under the name uncultured bacterium. RNAcentral's name for it is "partial 16S ribosomal RNA". It matches the Rfam family "Bacterial small subunit ribosomal RNA", at positions 28 to 507 of the family's 1533-position model. The record is from RNAcentral.